Gallus gallus (chicken) is the source of this 592-nucleotide long non-coding RNA. The record is from Ensembl. Lineage: Eukaryota; Metazoa; Chordata; Aves; Galliformes; Phasianidae.
AACCACUUAAAAUAUAUAGGACAGAUUUUCUCAUGGUAACACUUUGCAUUAAUUUAUCUCAGUACAGGAUCUGACUAUUAUGCUAUUAAACUAAUUGAAGGUAGAGGAAGUAUCUAGCCUGAUCAGCUCUGCCAGCUCAAGAGUUUGCACAGUAAUUCUUCUGGAAAGAAAGCAAAAUAUACAAGGAGAAGAAGCAAAGAAGAUUUUAUUACAACUAGCUUGAGAAUUGCUCUGAAGAGUCUGUUGCAGAGAUGAGGAACAAAAGGACAGCGAGAGAACUCAAAUGCAUAGGAACCAUGCAGUCCUGGGGAAGGCAAGUCCAUGGAAGAAAGCAACAGUGUUUGACAAUGGAUACCAAAUGCUUGCAAAACUACACUUCGUAGGAGGAACAGCUCUUUUCCUUAGCUGAAGUCUCUGCAAACAUUUUACCCAACUAUGAACCCUAAGGAAUAGCAUGAUGACUAUUAUAAUGCAACAGACAAUUUUAGCUAGAGCUUGGAAACCAGUGUCUUCAAGUGUUUCAAGAAGAAGUUACAAGAUUGGUUGAAGUCUAUAAUGGAAAGUAAAAUGCUCUAAAUAAACAUAAUAAAAC